AUUGAGCGCUGGCGGCAUGCUUUACACAUGCAAGUCGAACGGUAACAGGGUGCUUGCACCGCUGACGAGUGGCGAACGGGUGAGUAAUGCGUCGGAACGUGCCGAGUAGUGGGGGAUAACGCAGCGAAAGUUGUGCUAAUACCGCAUACGUCCUGAGGUAGAAAGUGGGGGACCUUCGGGCCUCACGCUAUUCGAGCGGCCGACGUCUGAUUAGCUAGUAGGUGAGGUAAAGGCUCACCUUGGCGACGAUCAGUAGCGGGUCUGAGAGGAUGAUCCGCCACACUGGGACUGAGACACGGCCCAGACUCCUACGGGAGGCAGCAGUGGGGAAUUUUGGACAAUGGGCGAAAGCCUGAUCCAGCCAUGCCGCGUGUCUGAAGAAGGCCUUCGGGUUGUAAAGGACUUUUGUCAGGGAGGAAAUCCCUAGUGCUAAUAACACUGGGGGAUGACAGUACCUGAAGAAUAAGCACCGGCUAACUACGUGCCAGCCGCCGCGGUAA
RNAcentral lists this ribosomal RNA (500 nucleotides) under uncultured bacterium. RNAcentral's name for it is "partial 16S ribosomal RNA". It matches the Rfam family "Bacterial small subunit ribosomal RNA", at positions 30 to 523 of the family's 1533-position model. The record is from RNAcentral.